Molecule: ribosomal RNA, 253 nt
Filed under: uncultured bacterium
Lineage: Bacteria
Description: partial 16S ribosomal RNA
Rfam family: Bacterial small subunit ribosomal RNA
Source: RNAcentral
UACGUAGGUGGCAAGCGUUGUCCGGAUUUACUGGGCGUAAAGGAUGCGUAGGUGGUUAUUUAAGUGGGAUGUGAAAUCCCCGGGCUUAACUUGGGUGCUGCAUUCCAAACUGGAUAUCUAGAGUGCGGGAGAGGAGAGUGGAAUUCCUAGUGUAGCGGUGAAAUGCGUAGAGAUUAGGAAGAACACCAGUGGCGAAGGCGACUCUCUGGACCGUAACUGACACUGAGGAGCGAAAGCAUGGGGAGCGAACAGG